This 995-nucleotide ribosomal RNA is filed under the name Lactiplantibacillus plantarum. Its description in RNAcentral is "bacterial SSU rRNA". It matches the Rfam family "Bacterial small subunit ribosomal RNA", at positions 1 to 973 of the family's 1533-position model. Lineage: Bacteria; Bacillati; Bacillota; Bacilli; Lactobacillales; Lactobacillaceae. The record is from RNAcentral.
GGAAUUUUUACGAGGGGGUUUUAUGGGCGGGGGGGGGCUAUCAUGCAGUCGAACGAACUCUGGUAUUGAUUGGUGCUUGCAUCAUGAUUUACAUUUGAGUGAGUGGCGAACUGGUGAGUAACACGUGGGAAACCUGCCCAGAAGCGGGGGAUAACACCUGGAAACAGAUGCUAAUACCGCAUAACAACUUGGACCGCAUGGUCCGAGCUUGAAAGAUGGCUUCGGCUAUCACUUUUGGAUGGUCCCGCGGCGUAUUAGCUAGAUGGUGGGGUAACGGCUCACCAUGGCAAUGAUACGUAGCCGACCUGAGAGGGUAAUCGGCCACAUUGGGACUGAGACACGGCCCAAACUCCUACGGGAGGCAGCAGUAGGGAAUCUUCCACAAUGGACGAAAGUCUGAUGGAGCAACGCCGCGUGAGUGAAGAAGGGUUUCGGCUCGUAAAACUCUGUUGUUAAAGAAGAACAUAUCUGAGAGUAACUGUUCAGGUAUUGACGGUAUUUAACCAGAAAGCCACGGCUAACUACGUGCCAGCAGCCGCGGUAAUACGUAGGUGGCAAGCGUUGUCCGGAUUUAUUGGGCGUAAAGCGAGCGCAGGCGGUUUUUUAAGUCUGAUGUGAAAGCCUUCGGCUCAACCGAAGAAGUGCAUCGGAAACUGGGAAACUUGAGUGCAGAAGAGGACAGUGGAACUCCAUGUGUAGCGGUGAAAUGCGUAGAUAUAUGGAAGAACACCAGUGGCGAAGGCGGCUGUCUGGUCUGUAACUGACGCUGAGGCUCGAAAGUAUGGGUAGCAAACAGGAUUAGAUACCCUGGUAGUCCAUACCGUAAACGAUGAAUGCUAAGUGUUGGAGGGUUUCCGCCCUUCAGUGCUGCAGCUAACGCAUUAAGCAUUCCGCCUGGGGAGUACGGCCGCAAGGCUGAAACUCAAAGGAAUUGACGGGGGCCCGCACAAGCGGUGGAGCAUGUGGUUUAAUUCGAAGCUACGCGAAGAACCUUA